Long non-coding RNA from Columba livia (rock pigeon), 2808 nucleotides. RefSeq lists it as uncharacterized. Lineage: Eukaryota; Metazoa; Chordata; Aves; Columbiformes; Columbidae. The record is from RefSeq and is a predicted model, not a curated record. The transcript has 3 exons.
AAAAAAAUGAUCCUUGUGAACUUGAACAAAAUUAAGGAUAUAAAAUAUGCCGAGGGAAUGCAAGAGCUUUUCUGAAGGGCCACUCCCUGCAGAUGUAGAACUGAACUGCCGCCCCGUGGGAUCUCGUCGUUACUGCUGAAUGUCUUCCAGGCCAUUCACACCAAGGGUUGCUUUGUGAAGGCUGCAACGCGGAUGGUCCCCAUGUUCCUGAUCCAGAGCAGGAACCUAACCACGGCCCCUCGUGCUUCUCCUUCAGGCUGCGCGUCCAGCUGCCUUCAGGCAAACCAGCAAACCAGGAACUGGGUCCUGGUCCAGUUACCAUCUGUCUUGUGGGACUGAAUGGAAGGUUCGAUUCUGAUCCAGGUCUGGCAGAUGCAGCCACCUGAUCAGCACUGGCACUGCCGGGAAGCGUGCCAUCCAGAAACACCUUGCGUGAGGGAGGCAGGAAGGUGGGCAUUGCUUUUACUUGGCUCUAGAUGCCUUCCCAUUGAUUAGCAUAAGCCCUUUAUUCUGCUAGAAAAGGGAGAUAUCUCUCUUUAGUGUCAAUAAACAUUAUCCCAUGGGGUGACUGGGUGAUGAACUUCUGCAACUUUUAUUUAUGGCUGAUGAAAACUACUAGGAAUUCAGACAAGUUGUAGCUGCUUACGGGAAGGGGUAUUAUAAUUAAUUAUGAAAUUAAUUAGAAAUUAAUGUUUAAUGCAAACAGCAUAAUUUCUAUGGCUGUUUUUCUGUAAUAGAUAGAGGAUCCAGUACCGUUUUCUUAUUUAUGCAGUACUUGGUUGUAUUUUGUAUCAAUAUCCACCUUACCACUCCGGUGGAAGGACAGGAAAGAUUGCCAUGCUCAAACAUCUGCUUCUAAAUCAAAGGCAAUUUCAAGCAGUUUUAGGUCCUUUUGAACACAUAGUUCAUGACAACUGCUAAGUGCUAAAAUCAUGACAGUUUGUUCAACUGAUCAUUUUAGGAGAAAAAGUUUUAGACACUUAAGUUGAACAAAGGAUCUGCUAAUUAUUAAGUGUAAAUUAGUAAAAAAGUAAGGAAUUCUCCAGUGAAGUAGCCUGUUCUUCUCCUGUACUCUCUUUCAUGGAAAACCCCCAAAUUUGCCCACACACCUUAGAGCAAGUAAUAGUCAGUACACAUGACUAUUGAAAAAAAUCACCUCAUAUUACUAAUUAGGACAGGGAUAUGCAAAAGAGGGGAAAAGGGAACGUGCGUGUAAAGGGAAGCAACACGCUGAUUCCAUAUGAACCAUUUAUUGAAUAAAUACAUGCAUCAUUAUGUAGAAUUACAUGAGCUAAAAAGGCAAUCUGUACAAAAUUGAUUACCCUUUGUUCUCAUUUCAAUUCUCACCAUUUGCUGCAGCUCUGAUAAAGGAUUCAAGACAGAAAAUGAAAAUUCUUUAAAUCCAAAUCCAAGUGAUAUGCAUGCUGAUUUGAGUUCGCGUUAUACCACUGCUAUCAUUAAGAAAGCUGGUUUUCUCGUCAGUGAAGCAAAGUAAAUCUAAAAACAGUUUCAACAGUAGAGAACAUGUGUUGGUACAUACAGGUAAUAAAGCUUAUUUUUAGCCAUUUCUUAAAUAUCUUCAUAUGUUCAUAUUUUAAGGCACAUGAUAAACAAGGACUACAUGAAAAGCUAUCAGUUGAUAUUGAAUACAUUGACUUGAUAAUGAGGUGCAAUUUAACCCAGAGGAAAGUCGUGUUUGUCCUUCCUACUUCCAUAUGAACAGAACCACGAGAAGAUGGUAACUAUGAUACAGAGGUUUGUUUCCACUAUCAAAAGAAUCAGUCUCAUCUAGGCACUCAUAUUCUGAUCCAAAUUCACUCAAGAGAAAACUUCUAAAGAGUCUGGCAUCCAGGGCCGAUUACAGUCAAUAGGAAUUACUCUUACUGAAUUACAGUAAGUGCAGAGUCUUCUAACAUCUGUCCCCAGACUUCGACCUGAAACACCACAUCAUUCAAACAGCCCAUUUGUUGGCUAUGGAUCAAACUCUGAGGAGUCACUGGCCAAGAUGAACAGCAAAAGUCCUUCUACCUUGGGCUCAACCAAGGAAAAAGACAAUUAUGCCAAACUGCUGCACUUAGACCUCCUUUAUUUAGAUCACCUUUCACUUCCUGCAUUUUCAUUGAAUUAACAAUAAUUCUAUGUCUUUCCAUUCUUAACAUUUUCAUGAAGAGCUAGCAAAGAAAAUACAUAUUUCAUAAUAUAUUACAUUCUGUAUGAACAGAUGAGUGUAUGUUUAUAGUCAUACAUUCCAAUAUAGAGUGAAGCCUUCUAAUGGAAAUGAUUUCUUACAAAGAACCUCUCUGUUGCUGAGUCCAUCAGAAAGUAACAGCAGCAAAAUUUACAGUUUGUUUGCUAAAAUUGUCUUGUAUAAAAUGUGGCGAUAAGAAGGCCAUCACUGUAUAGAGGUGUAUGUGUGCAUGUCACACACAUCCAUGACAAAUGUUCAUGUUAAACCGAAUUUAGACAAACCGAAAUGAGUCAAUUCUUAAACUUGGAAAAGACAAAAAGCUACAUCUAUGGUAGGCACUUUGGUACAUCUAGUAACGUAGGCAUAUUCUACAUCUAGAAUUAAGGUUCUGUCAGUAGUCUUACAAUAAAGCUAAUUUCAGGAGUUUAUUAUUCUGCUUUGAAAUUCUUUCUUGGCUGAGAGAUCAUUCUGGAAUCUUAGCUAAAUAAUGUCCUUUAUCUGUGUAAUUGCAUACUUAUCCAAGAAUGAGGGCGUUGGCUCUGAAAGAGCUGAACUGUUCUCUUGGAUUCUUAAUGCACAUUUUUAUAACAGUCGGAGAAAACUUACCAGAAAAAGAAAAA